Molecule: long non-coding RNA, 623 nt
Filed under: Leguminivora glycinivorella
Lineage: Eukaryota; Metazoa; Arthropoda; Insecta; Lepidoptera; Tortricidae
Description: uncharacterized LOC125225321
Source: RNAcentral
CGUGACCUUGCUCCACCAGCUCAAACCUGCCACUCGCAGCUCAUUUUCGACGGACCGCUUCCAUGAGUGGACAAGGCACCGACGAUCACGGCUUGUAUCACCUGUACUGCUAUGUAAUAUAGUAUGCUGAACACCGCUGUCAUUAUACUAGGAACAACGUCCUGCCCCUUCCCCGGCUGCGCACAAAUUGGAACUCCAUUGGCAUGCCCCUUUGACUGAGCAACUUGUGUAUGUGUGUGUACUCGAAUCACAUUCACUUGCAACAGAAUGACUCCCAGGCUGACCUGGCUCAGUUCCUGUAUGUCUGAUCUACAUAGACAAUGGUUUCAAUGAAAGAGUGAAAAUUCUUCUCCAUGUACAAUCACUUCUAACGCCUACACUGACUACACCAAAUAUGAUCAUCACUCAACGUGUCUCACAUCAAGAUACUUUUUAAAAGUCAUCAAGAAGGAACAUAAUAUCUUUUCCCAUGGUUUCCUGAAUAAUCCUAACUAAAAGUUACUUCUCUAUUCUAUUUUUCCUGCAUGGAGUGGCGUUUUUCCAUCUAAUGGAAACGAAAUGAACAUAUAUGCUCUGGGUUUUUUUGUUUUAGUGCACCUUUUCAAUAUUACUAAUAAAGCAUU